AAGACCUUGCGCUUUUGGAGCGGCCGAUGCCUGAUUAGCUUGUUGGUAAGGUAAAAGCUUACCAAGGCUUCGAUCAGUAGCUGGUCUGAGAGGACGACCAGCCACACUGGGACUGAGACACGGCCCAGACUCCUACGGGAGGCAGCAGUGGGGAAUUUUGGGCAAUGGGGGCAACCCUGAUCCAGCCAUGCCGCGUGAGUGAAGAAGGCCUUCGGGUUGUAAAGCUCUUUCAGCCGGAACGAAACGGUUACGGAUAACACCCGUGACUACUGACGGUACCGGAAGAAGAAGCACCGGCUAACUACGUGCCAGCAGCCGCGGUAAUACGUAGGGUGCGAGCGUUAAUCGGAAUUACUGGGCGUAAAGCGUGCGCAGGUGGUUUUGUAAGUCAGAUGUGAAAGCCCCGGGCUCAACCUGGGAACU
Molecule: ribosomal RNA, 423 nt
Filed under: uncultured bacterium
Lineage: Bacteria
Description: bacterial SSU rRNA
Rfam family: Bacterial small subunit ribosomal RNA
Source: RNAcentral